GAUGAACGCUGGCGGCGUGCCUAAUACAUGCAAGUCGAGCGAACGGACGAGAAGCUUGCUUCUCUGAUGUUAGCGGCGGACGGGUGAGUAACACGUGGAUAACCUACCUAUAAGACUGGGAUAACUUCGGGAAACCGGAGCUAAUACCGGAUAAUAUUUUGAACCGCAUGGUUCAAAGGUGAAAGACGGUCUUGCUGUCACUUAUAGAUGGAUCCGCGCUGCAUUAGCUAGUUGGCAAGGUAACGGCUUACCAAGGCAACGAUGCAUAGCCGACCUGAGAGGGUGAUCGGCCACACUGGAACUGAGACACGGUCCAGACUCCUACGGGAGGCAGCAGUAGGGAAUCUUCCGCAAUGGGCGAAAGCCUGACGGAGCAACGCCGCGUGAGUGAUGAAGGUCUUCGGAUCGUAAAACUCUGUUAUUAGGGAAGAACAUAUGUGUAAGUAACUGUGCACAUCUUGACGGUACCUAAUCAGAAAGCCACGGCUAACUACGUG
RNAcentral lists this ribosomal RNA (497 nucleotides) under uncultured bacterium. RNAcentral's name for it is "partial 16S ribosomal RNA". It matches the Rfam family "Bacterial small subunit ribosomal RNA", at positions 28 to 507 of the family's 1533-position model. The record is from RNAcentral.